This is a long non-coding RNA of Rattus norvegicus (Norway rat), 678 nucleotides long. RefSeq lists it as uncharacterized. The record is from RefSeq and is a predicted model, not a curated record. Lineage: Eukaryota; Metazoa; Chordata; Mammalia; Rodentia; Muridae.
AUCACCAAAGAAACAGCCCAGUGUAGAUUCUCUCCCCUACCUGCACGGAGGUAAGGGACUCUGCAACCCUGCCUGACUUGAAACAGACCUCUUAAGACCAAUUGCUUUGUGAUGCCAAGAAGUGCAUGCUGGCACAAGCCAGAUAUGGGCGUCUCCUGAGAGGCUCUGCCAGAGCCUGACCAAUACAGACAGGAUGCUUGCAGAUAACCAUUGGACUGAGCACUGGGACCCCAAUGGAGGAGUUAAGAGAAAGGACUGAAGGAGCUCAAGGGGUUUGCAACCCCAUAGGAAGAACAACAAUAUCAACCAUCCAGACCCCACAAGAGCUCCCAGGGACUAAACCACCAACCAGUAGAAGAAGUCAGGAUCCAUCUGGAACUGGAGUUACAGACGGUUGUGUGCCACCAUGAGGAUACUGGCAGCCCUGGCAGUCUGGUCUCCCAAUGAACUGUUCCUUCUUCCUACGGAGUGGUAAGAUGGUGCUAUCCCUGAGCUGGUGGUCUUGUGUUCUAUAAGAAAUCAGGCAAGGCAAGCCAUGAGGAGCAAGCCAGUAAGCAGCACCCUCCGUGGCUUCUGCACCAGCUCCUGCUUCCAGGUUCCUGCCCUGUUUGAGGUCCUGUCCUGAUUUCCUUCAGUGGUAAAAACAGUGAUAUGGAAACAUAAGUCAAAUAAACCCCU